This 66-nucleotide transfer RNA is filed under the name marine eukaryotic metagenome. It matches the Rfam family "tRNA". Rfam says of the family: Transfer RNA (tRNA) molecules are approximately 80 nucleotides in length. Their secondary structure includes four short double-helical elements and three loops (D, anti-codon, and T loops). The record is from RNAcentral.
GCAGUAGCUCAGUUGGUAGAGCAUCGGUCUCCAAAACCGAAGGUCGCAGGUUCGAUCCCUGUCUGC